GACCGGUUAGCUCAGUUGGUCAGAGCGUGGUGCUAGUAUCACCAAGGUUGUCGGUUCGAUCCCCACAUGGGCCA
Rhinolophus ferrumequinum (greater horseshoe bat) is the source of this 74-nucleotide non-coding RNA. The record is from the annotation of a RefSeq genome assembly. Lineage: Eukaryota; Metazoa; Chordata; Mammalia; Chiroptera; Rhinolophidae.